Molecule: non-coding RNA, 232 nt
Filed under: Cellulosilyticum lentocellum
Lineage: Bacteria; Bacillati; Bacillota; Clostridia; Lachnospirales; Cellulosilyticaceae
Description: Clostridium lentocellum T-box sequence
Rfam family: T-box leader
About the family: Uncharged tRNA acts as the effector for transcription antitermination of genes in the T-box leader family.
Source: RNAcentral
UUUGAUGCAAUGAAAAAGAGGAGUAUAGUGCUACUGCGUAUAGAGAGAGAAGAUUAUAAGCUGAAAGUCUUCUUACGAAAAGAACACUAGAAGGUAGCUUUGGAGCACCAUUUCUGAAAAUAGUAGGAAAUGGCGGGUAUGCCCGUUAAAGCUAACAAGUGUUUUGCAAAGUAAUUUAUUUAUUUACAUUGCAAAGAAUUAAGGUGGUACCGCGAGCUUCUUCGUCCUUAUU